RNAcentral lists this transfer RNA (85 nucleotides) under Virgisporangium aurantiacum. Its description in RNAcentral is "tRNA-Pro". Lineage: Bacteria; Bacillati; Actinomycetota; Actinomycetes; Micromonosporales; Micromonosporaceae. The record is from RNAcentral.
UGGCCCUCUACGGUGGCACCAUCACGGCCGGCCCGGAUCCGGCCGGCGGCUGGCGGGUCACCGCUUCGAUCCCGGUGGAGGCCAG